Molecule: ribosomal RNA, 498 nt
Filed under: uncultured bacterium
Lineage: Bacteria
Description: partial 16S ribosomal RNA
Rfam family: Bacterial small subunit ribosomal RNA
Source: RNAcentral
AUUGAACGCUGGCGGCAUGCCUUACACAUGCAAGUCGAACGGUAACAGGUCUUCGGAUGCUGACGAGUGGCGAACGGGUGAGUAAUACAUCGGAACGUGCCUAGUAGUGGGGGAUAACUACUCGAAAGAGUGGCUAAUACCGCAUGAGAUCUACGGAUGAAAGCAGGGGAUCGAAAGACCUUGUGCUACUAGAGCGGCCGAUGGCAGAUUAGGUAGUUGGUGGGAUAAAAGCUUACCAAGCCGACGAUCUGUAGCUGGUCUGAGAGGACGAUCAUCCACACUAGGACUGAGACACGGCCCAGACUCCUACGGGAGUCAGCAGUGGGGAAUUUUGGACGAUGGGCGAAAGCCUGAUCCAGCAAUGCCGCGUGCAGGAUGAAGGCCUUCGGGUUGUAAGCUGCUUUUGUACGGAACGAAAAGCCCUGGGUUAAUACCCUGGGGUCAUGACGGUACCGUAAGAAUAAGCACCGGCUAACUACGUGCCAGCCGCCGCCGUAA